CCUACGGGGGGCUGCAGUGGGGAAUAUUGGACAAUGGGGGCAACCCUGAUCCAGCCAUGCCGCGUGUGUGAAGAAGGCCCUCGGGUUGUAAAGCACUUUCAGUGAGGAAGAACGCCUGGUGGUUAAUACCCAUCAGGAAAGACAUCACUCACAGAAGAAGCACCGUCUAACUCCGUGCCAGCAGCCGCGGUAAUACGGAGGGUGCGAGCGUUAAUCGGAAUUACUGGGCGUAAAGCGCGCGUAGGUGGCUUGAUAAGCCGGUUGUGAAAGCCCCGGGCUCAACCUGGGAACGGCAUCCGGAACUGUCAAGCUAGAGUGCAGGAGAGGAAGGUAGAAUUCCCGGUGUAGCGGUGAAAUGCGUAGAGAUCGGGAGGAAUACCAGUGGCGAAGGCGGCCUUCUGGACUGACACUGACACUGAGGUGCGAAAGCGUGGGUAGCAAACAGGAUUAGAUACCCUAGUAGUC
This 465-nucleotide ribosomal RNA is filed under the name Vreelandella stevensii. RNAcentral's name for it is "partial 16S ribosomal RNA". It matches the Rfam family "Bacterial small subunit ribosomal RNA", at positions 338 to 795 of the family's 1533-position model. The record is from RNAcentral. Lineage: Bacteria; Pseudomonadati; Pseudomonadota; Gammaproteobacteria; Oceanospirillales; Halomonadaceae.